RNAcentral lists this ribosomal RNA (497 nucleotides) under uncultured bacterium. RNAcentral's name for it is "partial 16S ribosomal RNA". It matches the Rfam family "Bacterial small subunit ribosomal RNA", at positions 28 to 507 of the family's 1533-position model. The record is from RNAcentral.
GAUGAACGCUGGCGGCGUGCCUAAUACAUGCAGGUCGAGCGAACGGACGAGAAGCUUGCUUCUCUGAUGUUAGCGGCGGACGGGUGAGUAACACGUGGAUAACCUACCUAUAAGACUGGGAUAACUUCGGGAAACCGGAGCUAAUACCGGAUAAUAUUUUGAACCGCAUGGUUCAAAAGUGAAAGACGGUCUUGCUGGCACUUAUAGAUGGAUCCGCGCUGCAUUAGCUAGUUGGUAAGGUAACGGCUUACCAAGGCAACGAUGCAUAGCCGACCUGAGAGAGUGAUCGGCCACACUGGAACUGAGACACGGUCCAGACUCCUACGGGAGGCAGCAGUAUGGAAUCGUACGCAAUGGGCGAAAGCCUGACGGAGCAACGCCACGUGAGUGAUGAAGGUCUUCGGAUCGUAAAACUCUGUUAUGAGGGAAGAACAUAUGUGUAAGUAACUGUGCACAGCUUGACGGUACCUAAUCAGAAAGCCACGGCUAACUACGUG